RNAcentral lists this ribosomal RNA (493 nucleotides) under uncultured bacterium. RNAcentral describes it as "partial 16S ribosomal RNA". It matches the Rfam family "Bacterial small subunit ribosomal RNA", at positions 28 to 507 of the family's 1533-position model. The record is from RNAcentral.
GACGAACGCUGGCGGCGUGCUUAACACAUGCAAGUCGAACGGUGAAGCGCCUUCCUUUUUGGUGGGUGUGGAUGAGUGGCGAACGGGUGAGUAACACGUGAGUAACCUGCCCCCUUCUUCUGGAUAACCGCAUGAAAGUGUGGCUAAUACGGGAUAUUCUGGGUCUGUCGCAUGAUGGGUCUGGGAAAGAUAUUGUUUCGGUGGGGGAUGGGCUCGCGGCCUAUCAGCUUGUUGGUGGGGUGAUGGCCUACCAAGGCGGUGACGGGUAGCCGGCCUGAGAGGGGGACGGGUCAAACGGGGAUGGGGACACGGCCCGGAUUCUACGGGGAGCAAGAGGGGGGGAUAAUGGACAAUGGGGGGAAGGCUGGUGGAAGGGCGGCGGGGGGGGGAAGGGGGCCUUCGGGUUGUGAACCUCUUUCGCCAGUGAAGCAGGCCUGCCUCGUUUGUGGGUGGGUUGACGGUAGCUGGAUAAGAAGCGCCGGCUAACUACGUG